Aedes albopictus (Asian tiger mosquito) is the source of this 58-nucleotide non-coding RNA. Lineage: Eukaryota; Metazoa; Arthropoda; Insecta; Diptera; Culicidae. The record is from Rfam.
UAGCCUAGUGGUUAAGGCAAUGGAUCGCCAAUCCAGAGAUGACAGGUUCGAUUCCCGU